Molecule: ribosomal RNA, 250 nt
Filed under: uncultured bacterium
Lineage: Bacteria
Description: partial 16S ribosomal RNA
Rfam family: Bacterial small subunit ribosomal RNA
Source: RNAcentral
GCAAGUCUACUUGAAGCUACUGCUUGCGGUAGUGGAUGGUGGCGAACGGGUGAGUAACGCGUAGACAACCUACCAUUUAAAGAGGGAUAAUUCACUGAAAAGAGGACUAAUACCUCAUGUGCUCUUCGAUUGGCAUCAAUUGAAGAGGAAAGACUGCGGUCGUUAAAUGAUGGGUCUGCGUAUCAUUAGUUAGUUGGUAAGGUAACGGCUUACCAAGACAUCGAUGAUUAGCUGGUCUGAGAGGAUGAUC